Molecule: ribosomal RNA, 452 nt
Filed under: Bacillus sp. BA-109
Lineage: Bacteria; Bacillati; Bacillota; Bacilli; Caryophanales; Bacillaceae
Description: bacterial SSU rRNA
Rfam family: Bacterial small subunit ribosomal RNA
Source: RNAcentral
AGUCGAGCGAAUGGAUUAAGAGCUUGCUCUUAUGAAGUUAGCGGCGGACGGGUGAGUAACACGUGGGUAACCUACCCAUAAGACUGGGAUAACUCCGGGAAACCGGGGCUAAUACCGGAUAAUAUUUUGAACUGCAUAGUUCGAAAUUGAAAGGCGGCUUCGGCUGUCACUUAUGGAUGGACCCGCGUCGCAUUAGCUAGUUGGUGAGGUAACGGCUCACCAAGGCGACGAUGCGUAGCCGACCUGAGAGGGUGAUCGGCCACACUGGGACUGAGACACGGCCCAGACUCCUACGGGAGGCAGCAGUAGGGAAUCUUCCGCAAUGGACGAAAGUCUGACGGAGCAACGCCGCGUGAGUGAUGAAGGCUUUCGGGUCGUAAAACUCUGUUGUUAGGGAAGAACAAGUGCUAGUUGAAUAAGCUGGCACCUUGACGGUACCUAACCAGAAAGCC